ACCUGCAUGGCAUAGUGGUUUGAUUCCUGGAUUACAACUCUGGAGACCAGGGUUCAAUUCCCAGCUCAGCCA
This is a non-coding RNA of Phrynosoma platyrhinos (Desert horned lizard), 72 nucleotides long. NCBI's taxonomy places the organism in Eukaryota, Metazoa, Chordata, Lepidosauria, Squamata, Phrynosomatidae. The record is from the annotation of a GenBank genome assembly.